GACGAACCGUGCGAACGUUGUUCGGAUUCACUGGGGUUAAAGGGCGCGUAGGCGGGUCAGCGAGUCGGGGGUGAAAUCCCACGGCCCAACCGUGGAAGAGCUUUCGAUACUGCUGGCCUUGAGGGAGGUAGGGGCGUGUGGAACUUCCGGUGGAGCGGUGAAAUGCGUAGAUAUGCGGAGGAACACCGAUGGCGAAGGCAAUCCCCUGGACCUGUACUGACGCUCAUGCACGAAAGCGUGGGGAGCAAACAGG
RNAcentral lists this ribosomal RNA (253 nucleotides) under uncultured bacterium. RNAcentral's name for it is "partial 16S ribosomal RNA". It matches the Rfam family "Bacterial small subunit ribosomal RNA", at positions 524 to 776 of the family's 1533-position model. The record is from RNAcentral.